Molecule: transfer RNA, 64 nt
Filed under: Sphaerotermes sp. A TB-2017
Lineage: Eukaryota; Metazoa; Arthropoda; Insecta; Blattodea; Termitidae
Description: tRNA-Ala
Source: RNAcentral
GGGACUAUAGUUAACAAUAACAUUUGAGUUGCAUUCAAAAAGUACUAUACCUUAGUUAGUCUCA